GUGAGGACUGGGGAGGUGGAGGGUGGCACCUCUGGAGCCAGAGCUCUGUCUUAGCUCCCCUCUCCCCCCACCUCUUCUCUCCUCAG
RNAcentral lists this microRNA precursor (86 nucleotides) under Mesocricetus auratus (golden hamster). RNAcentral describes it as "microRNA 1224 (ENSMAUG00000003398.1)". It matches the Rfam family "mir-1224 microRNA precursor family". The record is from RNAcentral. Lineage: Eukaryota; Metazoa; Chordata; Mammalia; Rodentia; Cricetidae.